AUUUGAGAUCCACCUAUGAAGAUUCAGAAACAGAUUUGAUUACAAAACCCUAAAAUCAAUCAAGACAUAGUUAUGGCGAUCACCAAGAUUUAUAUAAUUUCAUGUGGUGGGGUUCGAUUUGCAGCGGAAAUGCAGAAUUAUGAGUUGGAGUUGAGAAACUCGAGGCCGAAAGAGCAGGAGUUUUUGGAGAAUUAUAAUGCGAAUUCACAGACAUAGUUACCUAAAUCGCUAGGGUACCCACGAUCCACGUAUUGGAUCGUGGUGUACCCAAUCGCAAUUCGCUAUCGAUCCGGAACGUCCUGGUACGGCGAUCCAAAUUGAUUAGGUCCGGCGAUCCGAGUUGCUCAGGUACGGCGUUCUAGGAUGAUAAGGUUCGGCGCUCUGGAAUGAUAAGGUUCGGCGUUCCAUAUGCAAGUUUUGGCGACGAAUUACGACGCCGGAGUUGUUUUCAGCCGGAGACCAGGAAGAAAGGGAAGAAGAAGAAGACAGAACCAGGAAGAGGAAGAAGGGGAAGAAACGACGGCUGCUGCAGGUUUUUUAGGGUUUUUAAGGUUUAAGUGUUUAACUAAGUUUAGUUAUUUCAAUAUUUAACCCCUCUAUUUUUACUAGUUUACAUUUGAACCCUAAAACUAAUAGUUUUUUACAUAAAAGUAUAAAAGUAGUUUGUGUAUUUAAACAUUUAACCCCCUCUAUCUUCACUUUUUUACAUUAUGUUUGG
RNAcentral lists this long non-coding RNA (718 nucleotides) under Helianthus annuus (common sunflower). The record is from RNAcentral. Lineage: Eukaryota; Viridiplantae; Streptophyta; Magnoliopsida; Asterales; Asteraceae.